GAUGAACGCUGGCGGCGUGCUUAACACAUGCAAGUCGAACGAUGAAGCCCAGCUUGCUGGGUGGAUUAGUGGCGAACGGGUGAGUAACACGUGAGUAACCUGCCCUUGACUCUGGGAUAAGCCUGGGAAACUGGGUCUAAUACUGGAUAUGACUUCUCAUCGCAUGGUGGGGGGUGGAAAGAUUUAUUGGUCUUGGAUGGACUCGCGGCCUAUCAGCUUGUUGGUGAGGUAAUGGCUCACCAAGGCGACGACGGGUAGCCGGCCUGAGAGGGUGACCGGCCACACUGGGACUGAGACACGGCACAGACUCCUACGGGAGGCAGAAGUGGGGAAUAUUGCACAAUGGGCGCAAGCCUGAUGCAGCGACGCCGCGUGAGGGAUGACGGCCUUCGGGUUGUAAACCUCUUUCAGUAGGGAAGAAGCGAGAGUGACGGUACCUGCAGAAGGAGCGCCGGCUAACUACGUG
RNAcentral lists this ribosomal RNA (466 nucleotides) under uncultured bacterium. Its description in RNAcentral is "partial 16S ribosomal RNA". It matches the Rfam family "Bacterial small subunit ribosomal RNA", at positions 28 to 507 of the family's 1533-position model. The record is from RNAcentral.